Long non-coding RNA from Osmia bicornis bicornis, 413 nucleotides. RefSeq lists it as uncharacterized. The transcript has 2 exons. The record is from RefSeq and is a predicted model, not a curated record. Lineage: Eukaryota; Metazoa; Arthropoda; Insecta; Hymenoptera; Megachilidae.
CCUACAUGAAGCUAGCCGGAAGGAAUAAUAAAAUAUGAUUAUUUUUAAUUUUUCUUAGUUUGUAAAUCGCUUGUGAUGAUACGUGUGAGUUUGUUAUACUUCAAAAUGUACGAAGUAACUAACUUUAAAUUGUUAAUAUCUUUUAAACAAUUAGUCGUCUCCCAUAAAAUAGGGUAUAGAAGCUGUACAUUUUUUCUUCAAAGAAUACGUGUCUGAUGAUACAUUUAAAAAUCUCAGGUAUGAAUUGAAACAAAUUAUGCGUUGUUUCAAGCUCAACUAUUGGGACGUAAAAAAAGUAUAAAAAGAUUAUCUAAAAAAGUUCAUUGAACAAUUUAUUAAAAAUGUAAACAAGAACAUUGAGUUUAUAAAGAUCCCUUUACAAAAAAGAAAUAAAAUUUCUGUAAGAAAAUAUA